GCAUGGUAACGGAUUUAUGGCGGGCCCUUCUCUGUGGGCCUCUCAUAGUGGACCCAUGCCAGAGUAACCUGCAGCCUCGAACCAUUGCCCAGCCCCUUACCUGUGGGUUGCGAGCACUGAAGGGGGUUGUACAGUG
RNAcentral lists this small nucleolar RNA (136 nucleotides) under Pteropus alecto (black flying fox). RNAcentral describes it as "Small nucleolar RNA SNORA42/SNORA80 family". It matches the Rfam family "Small nucleolar RNA SNORA42/SNORA80 family". Rfam says of the family: The members of this family belong to the H/ACA class of snoRNAs that guide the sites of modification of uridines to pseudouridines. Human ACA42 (SNORA42) was cloned from HeLa cells by immunoprecipitation with anti-GAR1 antibody. Its is predicted to guide the pseudouridylation of residues U109 and U572 of 18S rRNA. The record is from Rfam by way of RNAcentral. Lineage: Eukaryota; Metazoa; Chordata; Mammalia; Chiroptera; Pteropodidae.